This 674-nucleotide ribosomal RNA is filed under the name Rhizobium leguminosarum bv. phaseoli. RNAcentral describes it as "bacterial LSU rRNA". It matches the Rfam family "Bacterial large subunit ribosomal RNA", at positions 1167 to 1955 of the family's 2925-position model. Lineage: Bacteria; Pseudomonadati; Pseudomonadota; Alphaproteobacteria; Hyphomicrobiales; Rhizobiaceae. The record is from RNAcentral.
AAAAUGUAACGGGGCUGAAGCCAUGCACCGAAGCUGAGGAUGUGUAGCAAUACACGUGGUAGCGGAGCGUUCCGUAAGCUGAUGAAGGCAGACCCGUGAGGGCUGCUGGAGGUAUCGGAAGUGCGAAUGUUUGACAUGAGUAACGAUAAAGAGGGUGAGAGACCCUCUCGCCGAAAGCCAAGGGUUCCUGCUUAAAGUUAAUCUGAGCAGGGUUAGCCGGCCCCUAAGCACGAGGCGGACACGCGUAGUCGAUGGGAACCACGUUAAUAUUCGUGGGCCUGGUGGUAGUGACGGAUUGCACAAGUUGUUCUGGUUUAUUGGAUUAUCAGGGCAGCGGAGCGGUUCCAGGAAAUAGCUCCACCGUAUAGACCGUACCCGAAACCGACACAGGUGGUCAGGUAGAGUAUACCAAGGCGCUUGAGAGAACUAUGUUGAAGGAACUCGGCAAAUUGCACGCGUAACUUCGGAAGAAGCGUGACCCCAUAUGAGGCAACUCUUGUGGGGUGGCACAGACCAGGGGGUAGCGACUGUUUAUCAAAAACACAGGGCUCUGCGAAGUCGCAAGACGACGUAUAGGGUCUGACGCCUGCCCGGUGCUGGAAGGUUAAGAGGAGAGGUGCAAGCUUUGAAUCGAAGCCCCAGUAAACGGCGGCCGUAACUAUAACGGUCCUAAG